CCUACGGGUGGCUGCAGUGGGGGAUAUUGCACAAUGGGGGAAACCCUGAUGCCGCGACGCCGCGUGUGGGAAGACGGUCCUCUGGAUUGUAAACCACUGUCCCCAGGGACGAAAAUGACGGUACCUGGAGAGGAAGCUCCGGCUAACUACGUGCCAGCAGCCGCGGUAAUACGUAGGGAGCGAGCGUUGUCCGGAAUUACUGGGUGUAAAGGGCGUGCAGCCGGAGAUACAAGUCAGAUGUGAAAUCCACGGGCUCAACCCGUGAACUGCAUUUGAAACUGUUUCCCUUGAGUUUCGGAGAGGUAAUCGGAAUUCCUUGUGUAGCGGUGAAAUGCGUAGAUAUAAGGAAGAACACCAGUGGCGAAGGCGGAUUACUGGACGAUAACUGACGGUGAGGCGCGAAAGCGUGGGGAGCAAACAGGAUUAGAUACCCUGUAGUC
This 440-nucleotide ribosomal RNA is filed under the name uncultured bacterium. Its description in RNAcentral is "partial 16S ribosomal RNA". It matches the Rfam family "Bacterial small subunit ribosomal RNA", at positions 338 to 795 of the family's 1533-position model. The record is from RNAcentral.